UGUCUUGUUUGUGUUCUUACAGGUUAAAAACGUUGUCCCGAAUGCCGACGGGGAAACGUUGUCCGACUUCGUGCGCCACGACAGCCGGACGGAAGCCAAACGUUACGCGAUGAAUCCUUCCAAAGCCGGUGAAACCAGCGCCUUCCUGGAGAAGGCGGUGAAGGGAGAAGAUACCGCACCGCGGGCGCCGCAGAGAACCAGCCAUCCACCUCCAGAAAGCAGGAGACGAGAGAGGACGUCUCCGAGCGGAGCACCACCCCUGAAGAGACCGAGGUGCAGUACUAGGAGUCUGGCACGUCCGCCGGGGAGGAGGAGCAGGAACGGACGGCCAGACAAAAAAUAAGAUAUUCAGAGACAACGCAUCAGAUUACACUUGUACACCGUUUAACACUCAAGAACAAACAGAUACUCGGGCAUGGUGGUCUCCUCCAACUGAAGGACAUGGUGGUCUCCUCCAACUGAAGGGCAUGGUGGUCUCCUCCAACUGAAGAGCAUGUUGCUGCUCGCCUCCCACUGUGUCAGGUUAUGAAGCAGCUGAGGUCCAUUUAAAGCCCCAAACAGACUCCAGGAGAAAGAAGGACGAGGAAAGACUUCUGACAGUCAGUUGGAAGAGAGGGGUUGACUUCUGACAGUCAGGUGGAAGAGGGGGGUUGACCUCUGACAGUCAGGUGGAAGAGGGGGGUUGACCUCUGACAGUCAGGUGGAAGAGGGGGAGCUGUCUUCUGACAGUCAGGUGGAAGAGGGGGAGCUGUCUUCUGACAGUCAGGUGGAAGAGGGGGAGCUGUCUUCUGACAGUCAGGUGGAAGAGGGGGAGCUGUCUUCUGACAGUCAGGUGGAAGAGGGGGAGCUGUCUUCUGACAGUCAGGUGGAAGAGGGGGAGCUGUCUUCUGACAGUCAGGUGGAAGGAGGGGAGCUGUCUUCUGACAGUCAGGUGGAAGGAGGGGAGCUGUCUUCUGACAGUCAGGUGGAAGAGGGGGAGCUGUCUUCUGACAGUCAGGUGGAAGAGGGGGAGCUGUCUUCUGACAGUCAGGUGGAAGGAGGGGAGCUGUCUUCUGAAGAAUGUUCAACUUUCUCACAUGUAUACACACCACUCAGACACACUCAGACAGACACCACACUCAGACACCACACUCAGACACCAUUUUCAGACACCACACUCAGACACCAUUUUCAGACACCAUACUCAGACACCACACUCAGACACCAUUUUCAGACACCAUUUUCAGACACCAUACUCAGACACCAUACUCAGACACACCCAUUAUUAAAAGUAAUUUAAUGUCAUUUAAUUUGAUUUCUCGUUUAGAUUCAAUAAAAUAUUGUUACUAGUUCUCCACUGUGUUUUCAUUUCAGAGGUUGAAUGUCAAACAGGAUGGAGUGAAGUAACAUAGGAUCAUAUCUCAGGGAAUGUCAAACAGGAAGGAGUGAAGUAACAUAGGAUCAUAUCUCAGGGAAUAUCAAACAGGAAGGGAGAUUUAAAGCAGAACAGUGAAGUAACAGCAAAUACGUUGAAUGAGCAACUUCUGAGCAUGUAGAUCCUCACAAGGUUGACGAAAUUACCUCAUAUCUUUCUGUCUAAUAUGGCUAUUUACUGCUGUUGCCCUCAUUAGAGGCUUUCUGUAAGUAGUUAGGCCUAACUGUCCUGUCCAAGUUUAGCUGGAAUUUAGCCCCAAAGGAUUUAAGAGGAUUGGUUGACUACAGGCCUAACUGUCCUGUCCAAGUUUAGCUGGAAUUUAGCCCCAAAGGAUUUAAGAGGAUUGGUUGACUACAGGCCUAACUGCCCUGUCCAAGUUUAGCUGGAAUUUAGCCCCAAAGGAUUUAAGAGGAUUGGUUGACUACAGGCCUAACUGUCCUGUCCAAGUUUAGCUGGAAUUUAGCCCCAAAGGAUUUAAGAGGAUUGGUUGACUACAGGCCUAACUGUCCUGUCCAAGUUUAGCUGGAAUUUAGCCCCAAAGGAUUUAAGAGGAUUGGUUGACUACAGGCCUAACUGUCCUGUCCAAGUUUAGCUGGAAUUUAGCCCCAAAGGAUUUAAGAGGAUUGGUUGACUACAGGCCUAACUGUCCUGUCCAAGUUUAGCUGGAAUUUAGCCCCAAAGGAUUUAAGAGGAUUGGUUGACUACAGGCCUAACUGUCCUCUCCAAGUUUAGCUGGAAUUUAGCCCCAAAGGAUUUAAGAGGAUUGGUUGACUACAGGCCUAACUGUCCUCUCCAAGUUUAGCUGGAAUUUAGCCCCAAAGGAUUUAAGAGGAUUGGUUGACUACAGGCCUAACUGUCCUGUCCAAGUUUAGCUGGAAUUUAGCCCCAAAGGAUUUAAGAGGAUUGGUUGACUACAGGCCUAACUGUCCUCUCCAAGUUUUGUCACAAAAAUAUAAACACAACAAUGUUGGUCCCAUGUUUCAUGAGCUGAAAUAAAA
Molecule: long non-coding RNA, 2412 nt
Filed under: Oncorhynchus mykiss (rainbow trout)
Lineage: Eukaryota; Metazoa; Chordata; Actinopteri; Salmoniformes; Salmonidae
Description: lncRNA (ENSOMYG00000072623.1)
Source: RNAcentral